Molecule: transfer RNA, 69 nt
Filed under: Salmo salar (Atlantic salmon)
Lineage: Eukaryota; Metazoa; Chordata; Actinopteri; Salmoniformes; Salmonidae
Rfam family: tRNA
About the family: Transfer RNA (tRNA) molecules are approximately 80 nucleotides in length.
Source: Rfam by way of RNAcentral
GGCUCCAUAGCUCAGUGGUUAGAGCACUGGUCUUGUAAACCAGGAGUUGUUUGAUUCUCACUGGGGUCU